Molecule: long non-coding RNA, 759 nt
Organism: Leptopilina boulardi
Lineage: Eukaryota; Metazoa; Arthropoda; Insecta; Hymenoptera; Figitidae
Exons: 3
Source: RefSeq, a predicted model, not a curated record
GAAAAAAGAUGUUACAUAAAAAUAUUUUUAAGAUUUUCUAAAAGCAUAUAAGCAAAGUAUUUUGAUUUAUUUGAAAAUAAUUGAAAAUAGAUUUUUCAAGGACGGUGUCGAGGUCACUGGGUCGGUGUCGUUUUUCGAAAUUUGUUAACAUAAUAUAAUAGAAGAUGUUUCGUUUUAAAUUAAGAAAUGUUAAAAUUAUUAAGUUAAAAACAUUUGAUUUUAAUGACACUUUAAAUUAGACACAAUAUUAUAGGUUACUAACUAAAAAUUGAAAAAACAACAAUAAAUAAUAAAAAAUAAUAAUAAAAAAUUAAAAUAAUUAAAAAUUUCUUAAAAAAUUGCAAAAUAACCCUUUUUCGGGAUAAAAUUGAAAAAUAACCCUUUUUCGGGUUAAAAUUGAAAAAAGAUGUUACAUAAAAAUAGUUUGUAAGAUUUUCUAAAAGCAUAUAAGCAAAGUAUUUUGAUUUAUUUGAAAAUAUUUGAAAAUAGAUUUUUCAAGGACGGUGUCGAGGUCACUGGGUCGGUGUCGUUUUUCGAAAUUUGUUAACUUAAUAUAAUAGAAGAUGUUUCGUUUUAAAUUAAGAAAUGUUAAAAUUAUUAAGUUAAAAACAUUUGAUUUUAAUGACACUUAAAAUUAGACACAAUAUUAUAGGUUACUAACUAAAAAUUGAAAAAACAACAAUAAAUAAUAAAAAAUUGAAAAAAUCAAAAAAUUCUUAAAAAAUUGCAAAAUAACCCUUUUUUGGGAUAAAAUUGCAA